RNAcentral lists this ribosomal RNA (459 nucleotides) under uncultured bacterium. RNAcentral describes it as "partial 16S ribosomal RNA". It matches the Rfam family "Bacterial small subunit ribosomal RNA", at positions 338 to 795 of the family's 1533-position model. The record is from RNAcentral.
CCUACGGGUGGCAGCAGUGAGGAAUAUUGGUCAAUGGCCGGAAGGCUGAACCAGCCAAGCCGCGUGAAGGACGAAGGUGCCCAGCAUUGUAAACUUCUUUUGUCAAGGGACAAAAUCAGGCUCGAGAGCCUGACCGAGGGUACUUGAAGAAAAAGCAUCGGCUAACUCCGUGCCAGCAGCCGCGGUAAUACGGAGGAUGCGAGCGUUAUCCGGAUUUAUUGGGUUUAAAGGGUGCGUAGGCGGACUGUUAGGUCAGCGGUAAAAGCCCGGGGCUAAACCCCGGCGAGCCGUUGAAACUGGGCGUCUGGAGAUGUCGAGAGGUAUGUGGAAUGCGCAGUGUAGCGGUGAAAUGCUUAGAUAUUGCGCAGAACUCCGAUUGCGAAGGCAGCAUACCGGCGGCGAUCUGACGCUGAGGCACGAAAGCGUGGGGAGCGAACAGGAUUAGAUACCCCGGUAGUC